GAGCUGCGUUCUCCUCACCACAGACCCUGGCGGGCAACGGGCACCGCGAGGGCGGAGCUGCCUUCUGCAUAGCACAGACCCGGGAGACACCGCAAAGGCGGAGCAGCUUUUUCGGUAGAGACUUUGGGGGCACGGCCUCGCGUCGGGACAACUCGGAGCCGCAUCGACGAUGAUGAUUAUUCCCCACCUUCUAAGAGACAAAGACCAACGAGCCACCACAGCCACCAGUCCCAGAACCCGCCAAUGCUGGGGAACGGAAAAUGAGGGAGUUCACCUCUGGCCCUCACAAUCCAGUGGAGGAGACGAAACUCAUCUGCCUCUGUCCCUCUGGGCACGCCUCAUCCCAGGUGCAUCUGUGGACAGGGGCCAUGCUCCUGGGCUUCCAAAGUUGGAGAAAGCUGCCAGGCUCAGAGAAAUGGAAUCAUCGUAUCGCUGAUCUACGUAAACAAAUUGAAGAAUUGUCUGAAAGAAAAUAUGUGGAGAUGGGGUUUCACCAUGUUGGCGGGGCCAGUCUCGAACUCCUGACAUCAAGUGAUCUUCCCGCCUCGACUCCUGACAUCAAGUGAUCUUCCCGCCUCGGCCUCCCAGAGUGCUGAGAUUACAGACGUGAACCCAUGUCUGGCCAGGAAUUUUGUUUUUUAGGAAGGCUUUCUACUAAUGGAAUUCCUGGCCUUGAGAGGAUGUUACUUUUGAAGAAAAGGAUUUUUUUGUUAUUAAAAGAAACAGGACCUUGCCCUGUCACUCAGGAUGGAGUUCAGUGCUCCUAUCAUGGCUCAUUAUAGCCUCAAACUCCCAGGCUGAAGCAAUCCUACCAUGUCAGCCUUCCCGUAGCUGGGACUACAGGUCUCACACCGUCACCCAGGCUGGAGUACAGUGGCACAACCUCUGCUCACUGCAGCCUCCACCUGCCAGGCUCAAGCAAUUCUCCUGCCUCAGCCUCCCGAGUAGCUGGGAUUACAGGUAAGUGCCACCACACCCAGCUGAUUUUUGUGUUUUUUUGUAGAGACGAGGUUUCGCCGUGUUUCCCAGACUGUUCUCAAACUCCUGAGCUCAAAGCAGUCCACCCACCUUGGCCUCCCAGAGUGCUGGGAUUACAGGUGUGAGCCAUCUUGCUCAUUCUAGUUUAAACUUUUGAGUGGUUUGUGUCUCCUGAUUGGACUCCUACAAAUACAGAAUUGAUGCUAGGAAGGGUACCAGGAGAUAGACGCACACAGAUGGGAUUUGGGAAUAGGUUUGGUUAUCCAAGGAGCAGUGCUGAGCGCCUUGCUAAUGGGAUAUGGGAUGCUGGUGAUUUCCAGGAAGUGAGCUCACAAUGACUCAAGCUGCCACAUACUGUUGAUUGUGAAAUGCCAGUUGAAGCAUAUGUCCUGCGAGCUUAGGGGUGCUACAAGUUGACCACUGCAGCAGUAAAGAUGACUCUGAAGAAUGGCGUGGGAUGGAUCCUUUCAAAUGCACUUGAGCAGCGGUCUCCAACCACAGGGCCACAGAGCUGGAGCUGGAUCUACCAUGAAGGACUUCUGAAUCCAGGAAGAGAGACUGACUGGGCAACAUGUUAUUCAGGGUCUCUCUCUGUUGUCCAAGGCUGGAGGGUAGUAGUGCUAUCGCAGCUGACUGCAGCCUCAACCUUCCAGGCUGAAGCGAUCCACCCAUCUCAACCUCCCACGUGGCUGAGACUACAGGUGCUUGCCACUAUGCCCAACUAAUAUUUGGAAUUUUCGUAUACGUGGAUUCCAGAGGGGUGACAGCGAAACGUGGGACCAUCCAGUUUCAGGAAAACGAGCUUAACACGCCCACUGAUUCUACAUUAUGCUCCUACCUCCCGGCAGCCUCGCCAGGCCCAGAACUCUCUCCAGUCAGCCUCUACAGACCAAGCUCAUGACUCACAAUGGCCUAUUGAGGCCCAUACCCUACCUCACGGCAGUCUCCGCAGAUGAGCCUACUGCCUCACAACAGCCUCCACAGGCACAGCUCCAUCGUUACAAUGGCGUCUUUAGACCCAGCUCCUGCCUCCCAGCCUUCUCUCCAGGCCCUGAACUUUCUCCGUGGGACCAUCCAGUUUCAGGAAAACGAGCUUAACACGCCCACUGAUUCUACAUUAUGCUCCUACCUCCCGGCAGCCUCGCCAGGCCCAGAAUUCUCUCCAGUCAGCCUCUACAGACCAAGCUCAUGACUCACAAUGGCCUAUUGAGGCCCAUACCCUACCUCACGGCAGUCUCCGCAGAUGAGCCUACUGCCUCACAACAGCCUCCACAGGCACAGCUCCAUCGUUACAAUGGCCUCUUUAGACCCAGCUCCUGCCGCCCAGCCUUCUCUCCAGGCCCUGAACUUUCUCCGUGGGACCAUCCAGUUUCAGGAAAACGAGCUUAACACGCCCACUGAUUCUACAUUAUGCUCCUACCUCCCGGCAGCCUCGCCAGGCCCAGAACUCUCUCCAGUCAGCCUCUACAGACCAAGCUCAUGACUCACAAUGGCCUAUUGAGGCCCAUACCCUACCUCACGGCAGUCUCCGCAGAUGAGCCUACUGCCUCACAACAGCCUCCACAGGCACAGCUCCAUCGUUACAAUGGCCUCUUUAGACCCAGCUCCUGCCGCCCAGCCUUCUCUCCAGGCCCUGAACUUUCUCCGUGGGACCAUCCAGUUUCAGGAAAACGAGCUUAACACGCCCACUGAUUCUACAUUAUGCUCCUACCUCCCGGCAGCCUCGCCAGGCCCAGAACUCUCUCCAGUCAGCCUCUACAGACCAAGCUCAUGACUCACAAUGGCCUAUUGAGGCCCAUACCCUACCUCACGGCAGUCUCCGCAGAUGAGCCUACUGCCUCACAACAGCCUCCACAGGCACAGCUCCAUCGUUACAAUGGCCUCUUUAGACCCAGCUCCUGCCGCCCAGCCUUCUCUCCAGGCCCUGAACUUUCUCCGUGGGACCAUCCAGUUUCAGGAAAACGAGCUUAACACGCCCACUGAUUCUACAUUAUGCUCCUACCUCCCGGCAGCCUCGCCAGGCCCAGAACUCUCUCCAGUCAGCCUCUACAGACCAAGCUCAUGACUCACAAUGGCCUAUUGAGGCCCAUACCCUACCUCACGGCAGUCUCCGCAGAUGAGCCUACUGCCUCACAACAGCCUCCACAGGCACAGCUCCAUCGUUACAAUGGCCUCUUUAGACCCAGCUCCUGCCGCCCAGCCUUCUCUCCAGGCCCUGAACUUUCUCCGUGGGACCAUCCAGUUUCAGGAAAACGAGCUUAACACGCCCACUGAUUCUACAUUAUGCUCCUACCUCCCGGCAGCCUCGCCAGGCCCAGAACUCUCUCCAGUCAGCCUCUACAGACCAAGCUCAUGACUCACAAUGGCCUAUUGAGGCCCAUACCCUACCUCACGGCAGUCUCCGCAGAUGAGCCUACUGCCUCACAACAGCCUCCACAGGCACAGCUCCAUCGUUACAAUGGCCUCUUUAGACCCAGCUCCUGCCGCCCAGCCUUCUCUCCAGGCCCUGAACUUUCUCCGUGGGACCAUCCAGUUUCAGGAAAACAAGCUUAACACGCCCACUGAUUCUACAUUAUGCUCCUACCUCCCGGCAGCCUCGCCAGGCCCAGAACUCUCUCCAGUCAGCCUCUACAGACCAAGCUCAUGACUCACAAUGGCCUAUUGAGGCCCAUACCCUACCUCACGGCAGUCUCCGCAGAUGAGCCUACUGCCUCACAACAGCCUCCACAGGCACAGCUCCAUCGUUACAAUGGCCUCUUUAGACCCAGCUCCUGCCGCCCAGCCUUCUCUCCAGGCCCUGAACUUUCUCUGUGGGACCAUCCAGUUUCAGGAAAACAAGCUUAACACGCCCACUGAUUCUACAUUAUGAUUCUUCAGGCCCAGCAUCUGCCUCACUGUGGACCCCCCAAGCCAAGCUCCCAACCUUUCAGCAGCUUCUACACACCCAGCUCCCGCCUGCCAGUGGCCUCUUCAGGCCCAUGGGGCUCAUUCCUCACAACAGCCUUUCCAGUCCCAGUUUUUCCCUUCCGGCGGCCUCUCCGGGCUGAGAACCUCCUCAAGUCGGCCUCUCCAGACCCACUUGCACCCUCCAGGCGUCCUCUCCGGGCCAAGCUCCUCUUCCUGGCUGCGUCUCCAGGCCCGACUCCUGCCUCUCAACAACCUCUUUGGACUCAGUGCCUACCCAUCUCCUGGCGUCCUUGGUCGGACCACAGCUUCCUCAAGCCAAGCUCCCCAAGCCCAGGUCAGGCCUCACGGUGCCCCCUCCACGAUGAGCUCAUGCCCUCCAAUGGCACCUGCAGGCCCCAAAUGGUCUCCGGUCGGUGGGCUCCUCCACGCCAAGCUUGGGCCUCCCGGUGACCUCUGCAGGCCCAAGUUGUCCUGAAGUCAGCAUCUCCCGGCCGUGCCUCCCAGCAAGUAAGCAAGCUCUUUUGGCUCAACUCCUGCCCAGCUCCCAACCGCCUUUGUAGGUCCCGAACUUUCUCCAGCCAAGUUCUUUGGGCCUCAUUCCUGCAGCCCGGUGGCCUGUACGGGCCCAGCAAUGGUUGGAGAAUGGCCUCUGCAGGUCCCGCUCUUGCCUCCCA
Molecule: long non-coding RNA, 4559 nt
Organism: Gorilla gorilla gorilla (western lowland gorilla)
Lineage: Eukaryota; Metazoa; Chordata; Mammalia; Primates; Hominidae
Exons: 25
Source: RefSeq, a predicted model, not a curated record